UGGGGAAUCUUGGACAAUGGGCGCAAGCCUGAUCCAGCCAUGCCGCGUGAGUGAUGAAGGCCUUAGGGUUGUAAAGCUCUUUUUGCCGGGGACGAUAAUGACGGUACCCGGAGAAUAAGUCCCGGCUAACUUCGUGCCAGCAGCCGCGGUAAUACGAAGGGGACUAGCGUUGUUCGGAAUCACUGGGCGUAAAGCGCACGUAGGCGGAUUUGUAAGUCAGGGGUGAAAUCCCGGGGCUCAACCUCGGAACUGCCUUUGAUACUGCGGAUCUCGAGUCCGAUAGAGGUGAGUGGAAUUCCUAGUGUAGAGGUGAAAUUCGUAGAUAUUAGGAAGAACACCGGUGGCGAAGGCGGCUCACUGGAUCGGUACUGACGCUGAGGUGCGAAAGCGUGGGGAGCAAACAGGAUUAGAUACCCGGGUAGUCCCUGAGCGGGCUGGCAAGGCGCAU
This 448-nucleotide ribosomal RNA is filed under the name uncultured bacterium. Its description in RNAcentral is "bacterial SSU rRNA". It matches the Rfam family "Bacterial small subunit ribosomal RNA", at positions 355 to 825 of the family's 1533-position model. The record is from RNAcentral.